RNAcentral lists this non-coding RNA (45 nucleotides) under Schistosoma mansoni. The record is from RNAcentral. Lineage: Eukaryota; Metazoa; Platyhelminthes; Trematoda; Strigeidida; Schistosomatidae.
GUCCAUCUCAAGAGUCCCAAAUAAGACAAAACGCGCGUCCUGGAU